This 81-nucleotide small nuclear RNA is filed under the name Panthera tigris altaica (Amur tiger). RNAcentral's name for it is "U4 spliceosomal RNA (ENSPTIG00000001682.1)". It matches the Rfam family "U4 spliceosomal RNA". Rfam says of the family: U4 small nuclear RNA (U4 snRNA) is a component of the major U2-dependent spliceosome. The record is from RNAcentral. Lineage: Eukaryota; Metazoa; Chordata; Mammalia; Carnivora; Felidae.
AGCUUUGUGCAGUGGCAGUAUCAUAGCCAAUGAGGUUUAUCCAAGGUGCAGUUAUUGCUAAUUGGAAAAGAUAUCAUUUUG